RNAcentral lists this ribosomal RNA (473 nucleotides) under Streptococcus sanguinis. RNAcentral's name for it is "bacterial SSU rRNA". It matches the Rfam family "Bacterial small subunit ribosomal RNA", at positions 28 to 480 of the family's 1533-position model. Lineage: Bacteria; Bacillati; Bacillota; Bacilli; Lactobacillales; Streptococcaceae. The record is from RNAcentral.
GACGAACGCUGGCGGCGUGCCUAAUACAUGCAAGUAGAACGCUGAAGAGAGGAGCUUGCUCUUCUUGGAUGAGUUGCGAACGGGUGAGUAACGCGUAGGUAACCUGCCUGGCAGCGGGGGAUAACUAUUGGAAACGAUAGCUAAUACCGCAUAAAAUUGCUUAUCGCAUGAUAAUUAAUUGAAAGAUGCAAUUGCAUCACUACCAGAUGGACCUGCGUUGUAUUAGCUAGUUGGUGAGGUAACGGCUCACCAAGGCGACGAUACAUAGCCGACCUGAGAGGGUGAUCGGCCACACUGGGACUGAGACACGGCCCAGACUCCUACGGGAGGCAGCAGUAGGGAAUCUUCGGCAAUGGGGGGAACCCUGACCGAGCAACGCCGCGUGAGUGAAGAAGGUUUUCGGAUCGUAAAGCUCUGUUGUAAGAGAAGAAACGGGUGUGAGAGUGGAAAAGUUCACACUGUGACCGGUAUUU